AUGUGCCCUGGCACAGGUGGUACAGCCAGGAUGUGUCCUGGCACAGGGAUGGCCCCGGUGGCACAGCCAGGAUGUGUCCUGGGCACAGGUGGCACAGCCAGGAUGUGCCCUGGCACAGGGAUGGCCCCAGGGCAGGGCAGCCCCAGCCCCAGCGUCCCGUCCCAGCCAGCACUGCCCCUGUCCCCACUGUCCCCAUGGAUCCCUGGAGGGAUCCCGGAGGGAUCAGGGGAGGGGAGCUGGGGCACAGCAACACUAAAACACCCAGAGAACACUAACACAGCCCUGCCUGGGGCUCGGAGCCAUCCCUGCCCAUCCUGCAGGGACACCAGGGAUGUCCCCUGCCCGUCUGGCCCCCUCCCCACUGAGCUCAGCCCCGGGGUGGGGGAGCUGCUCCUUCUGCCCAUGGUUUUUUCGUGGACCUCAGGCUUUUCCUGCUCCAAACUCCCAAGUCAGUCCCACCUGGAGGAUCACCUGGAAGGGGAGGAACUGGGCCACAGCCUGGGCUGUCUCUGUGGUGGGACAGAGGUCAUGGCUCCUCUGCCCAGGGCUCUGCCCAUUCCCCCUUCCCGGGGAUCCCUCCUGUGGCUGGAGCUCACCUGGCCCUCAGGUGCCUUCCCUGCACCCCCAGCCUGCCCCAGCCACCCUCCCUGGGGGCCAGGCACCCCUCUGCCCCUGCCUUGCUGGGAGAAGGGAUGGUUCAUCUCGGUGGCACUUCUGCCAGCCCUUCUCCCCCCGCUGUGCUUUCCCUGCCCAGGAGGUGGCCAUGGGGUUGGGGUGGGGCUGCAGGGCAGCGUGUGCUGGGCUCCGUGGUUUCCCUUGCUGCAGAUGGGGGUUCUGCCCCUCGUGGGGAUGGGAUGGGCCCUGCUGGGUGAGCCCCAGCUGUGCAGGGCUGUGCUGCUGCACCCCUGUCCCUGCAGCACCCCUGUCCCUGCAGCACCCCUGUCCCUGUCCCUGCUGCUCCUGCUGCCGUUCUCUGUAAGGAUUUGGUCCGUGCAUGUCCACGUGUGUCUGACCCCCCAGCAGUGACCCUGGCCCCGGGGGGUGCACAGGGCAGCCCCCCUGCUCCCAGCAGGGCAGGGAGCCCAUGGGACCGGAGUCCUGGGGGCCCUUCCCGCUGUCCCCUCCCCGCCGGGGGACGCUGGCUCCCGCUCAGGUGGAUUGAAGCGCGUUCUGUCAGCUGGGACACCUCGCUAGAUCUUUUUUUGGGGUUUGUUUGUUUUGGUUUUGUUUUUUUGUUGGGUUUUUUUUUUAAUGGCUUCUCCUGGUUUUUAGGGGAAAAAAUGAUGACCCACAGUUCUUGACUUGUAUCUCUGAAUGAAAGUAUUAAAUGUUUUCUUCUUUCUAAGGGCUGCCUUGUGGAGUCAGGAAAUGGCUGGGAUUGGAUGGCACUGGGAGGUCAUGGGAAGGGACACCUCCCACUGUCCCAGGCUGCUCCAAUCCCCAGUGCCAGGCUGUUG
This 1457-nucleotide long non-coding RNA is filed under the name Geospiza fortis (medium ground-finch). RNAcentral describes it as "lncRNA (ENSGFOG00000001827.1)". Lineage: Eukaryota; Metazoa; Chordata; Aves; Passeriformes; Thraupidae. The record is from RNAcentral.